Molecule: ribosomal RNA, 440 nt
Filed under: uncultured bacterium
Lineage: Bacteria
Description: partial 16S ribosomal RNA
Rfam family: Bacterial small subunit ribosomal RNA
Source: RNAcentral
CCUACGGGAGGCAGCAGUGGGGAAUAUUGCACAAUGGGGGAAACCCUGAUGCAGCGACGCCGCGUGAGUGAAGAAGUAAUUCGUUAUGUAAAGCUCUAUCAGCAGGGAAGAAAAUGACGGUACCUGAGUAAGAAGCCCCGGCUAACUACGUGCCAGCCGCCGCGGUAAUACGUAGGGGGUAAGCGUUAUCCGGAUUUACUGGGUGUAAAGGGAGCGUAGACGGCAGUGCAAGUCUGGAGUGAAAGGCGGGGGCCCAACCCCCGGAAUGCUCUGGAAACUGUACGGCUGGCGUGUAGGAGAGGGAAGUGGAAUUCCUAGUGGAGCGGUGAAAUGCGUAGAUAUUAGGAGGAACACCAGUGGCGAAGGCGGCUUACUGGACUGUAACUGACGUUGAGGCUCGAAAGUGUGGGGAGCAAACAGGAUUAGAUACCCCUGUAGUC